AUGGCUCAGAACGAACGCUGGCGGCAGGUCUUAGGCAUGCAAGUCGAACGGAUGACAGAGAGCUUGCUCUCUGAAGUCAGUGGCGCACGAGUGAGUAACGCGUGGGAAACUGCCCUUCACUGGGGAAUAACGUUUGGAAACGAACGCUAAUACCGCAUACGCCCGCAAGGGGAAAGAUUUAUCGGUGAUGGAUGUGCCCGCGUUGGAUUAGCUAGUUGGUGGGGUAAUGGCCUACCAAGGCGAUGAUCCAUAGCUGGUCUGAGAGGACGAUCAGCCACGCUGGAACUGAGACACGGUCCAGACUCCUACGGGAGGCAGCAGCUAAGAAUAUUGGGCAAUGGAGGAAACUCUGACCCAGCCCAUGCCGCGUGAAUGAAGAAGGCCUUCGGGUUGUAAAGUUCUUUUAGUCAUGAAGAUGAUGACAGUAGUGACAGAAAAAGCACCGGCUAACUUCGUGCCAGCAGCGGC
Molecule: ribosomal RNA, 468 nt
Filed under: uncultured bacterium
Lineage: Bacteria
Description: bacterial SSU rRNA
Rfam family: Bacterial small subunit ribosomal RNA
Source: RNAcentral